Molecule: long non-coding RNA, 820 nt
Organism: Mangifera indica (mango)
Lineage: Eukaryota; Viridiplantae; Streptophyta; Magnoliopsida; Sapindales; Anacardiaceae
Exons: 2
Source: RefSeq, a predicted model, not a curated record
UCUUUUUAGCUGGAUUGAUGGAGUUUCACUCUCUAUCUUUUCAAAGUUGUUCAUCCUCCUCCAUAACAAUCCCCUUGAAAGAACCAACACAGAUUUUGAUGAGCUUUGACAUCAUCGGAUUAGUAACUUACCAGAUGCAAACAUCCCUUAUAGUCUUAUCUCUGGAUUAGGAUCCUAGUCCAUGAUAAGUUAUUAGAGGCUAAUCGAUGAGGAAGGUAGAUUGCAUAUUAAUUCAUUUUACUGAGAUUUUAUUAAAGAUUUGCUUAAUUAUACAGCCGAAAGAGAUUCCACCAGCUUAUUGACUUGUUAAUUUGCUUCAGGAUGGUUAGAAGAUGAAAGUGCUGGGAUGACUUUGUUCGGUGGUUAACAUUUGGAUCUUAUAAUCUCCAGGAACAUGAGUUGGACUUGAAGAUCCGAAUUAACACUGGAGAAAUUCUUCCUUUUCUUCCUAUAUCUUCUUUUGACCCUCAUGCCUUUUAAGAUUGGAUGGCCUCCAGUUUUAGCAAACAAGAAUAGAUUAAUGUUGCUAGAUGAUUCGGUUGGUUGUUGUGGGAUAGAAGCCACUAACUUUCUUAUUGUUGGUAGAAAUGACAUUGAUCACAGGAUACGCUGACAUUAUUGACAUGAUAUUAUCCUGAACUAAACAGAAGAACUUAUGACAGAAACCUGCAGGCUGUUGAGUGAGGUUAUUUGAAGCCUCUAUAAUGUGUUGAAAUUGUAUUCCAGGGUCUUUAGCUUGUCUUUGGAAAAAAAUCGAUGUAGAUUAUGGGUUGAUAAUCGUAAAAUGUAUAAUAAAUUGGAGAUUAUUUUUUCUCUUUCA